Molecule: ribosomal RNA, 540 nt
Filed under: Bacillaceae bacterium C17
Lineage: Bacteria; Bacillati; Bacillota; Bacilli; Caryophanales; Bacillaceae
Also listed under: 1 other name
Description: bacterial SSU rRNA
Rfam family: Bacterial small subunit ribosomal RNA
Source: RNAcentral
UGGAGAGUUUGAUCCUGGCUCAGGACGAACGCUGGCGGCGUGCCUAAUACAUGCAAGUCGAGCGGAAAUUUUAUUGGUGCUUGCACCUUUAAAAUUUUAGCGGCGGACGGGUGAGUAACACGUGGGUAACCUACCUUAUAGAUUGGGAUAACUCCGGGAAACCGGGGCUAAUACCGAAUAAUACUUUUUAACACAUGUUUGAAAGUUGAAAGACGGUUUCGGCUGUCACUAUAAGAUGGACCCGCGGCGCAUUAGCUAGUUGGUGAGGUAACGGCUCACCAAGGCAACGAUGCGUAGCCGACCUGAGAGGGUGAUCGGCCACACUGGGACUGAGACACGGCCCAGACUCCUACGGGAGGCAGCAGUAGGGAAUCUUCCACAAUGGACGAAAGUCUGAUGGAGCAACGCCGCGUGAGUGAAGAAGGAUUUCGGUUCGUAAAACUCUGUUGCAAGGGAAGAACAAGUAGCGUAGUAACUGGCGCUACCUUGACGGUACCUUGUUAGAAAGCCACGGCUAACUACGUGCCAGCAGCCGCGGUA